GUUCCCGUAUGAUCACCGAAGUUAAGCAACGUUGAGCCUGGUCAGUACCUAGAUGGGUGACUACUUGGGAAUACCAGAUGCUGUAAG
Acanthosepion pharaonis is the source of this 87-nucleotide non-coding RNA. The record is from the annotation of a GenBank genome assembly. NCBI's taxonomy places the organism in Eukaryota, Metazoa, Mollusca, Cephalopoda, Sepiida, Sepiidae.